GACUGUGUGUCAUGAACAGCAUCAGGGCGACAGAAGAGUCUGUGAGAGGCGAGGGCUGUCUGGUUGGAUGGGAGUCCCUUCGAUCAGCACUGUCAGCCGAAGGCAGCUACCUGAGAAAAGGGACUGAGGCUGCCAAGAAGCCUAAAUGUGUCAAGUCUGUCCCAAAAGAAGAGGCCAAAACAUCAGCUUUCAUUCCUAGCAAAGUGGUAGGAAGAACAGAAAUCCACCACAGACAGGAAUAAGGAGAAACCAGGAAAAUGUUAAAACAAGUUUAACGGCUACAUGGGUUAGAAUUCCAAGGAGCCUCAGCCAUAGAGUAAGUCUGCAUCACCAGCCAACUCUUUCCAAUGGAUCAUCACCAGACAUACAGCAAGAGUGCCGUAUACUAACUACUGGGAAUAAGGCAGGUGAGUUGAGAGUCAUCUUAUGGGAACUUCCUGAAAUUAAGGCAGGAGUCAGAGCAUAAAACUGAACAAUUCCCUUAGGUACCUCAGGAGUGAACUAGUAUUAGGCUAUGUAAUGUAAAUAAAUCUUCAGAGUUUUGCCAGGGCUCAGAUUCCACUCCCUGCUAAAAGGAAAGUCAUGAUACUGCCCUAAAAACACCUGAAGUCAGUGAUGAAAUGAAUCUAACUAAAGUUUUGGCAAACUCACACCCAUUUCAAUUAUAAAUGAGAUUGACUCAGCCCACUCACCAGUGUCCUGAUAAAAGAGCAUGCCCUUUUAAAUUUCUACAGCCUUUACAAUUCUUUUACACACAAUAUCUGUCACCCUAUCAAAAACUAUGAGGCACGCAAAAAGAGAAGAAAAUAUAACAUAGUCAAGAGAAGGAAUAGCCAAAAGAAGCAGACCCAGAGAUAAUACAGAUGUUAGAGUCAUUAGGCAAGAAUUUUUAAAUAACUACAAAAAAAAAAAAAAAG
Molecule: long non-coding RNA, 917 nt
Organism: Molossus molossus (Pallas's mastiff bat)
Lineage: Eukaryota; Metazoa; Chordata; Mammalia; Chiroptera; Molossidae
Exons: 2
Source: RefSeq, a predicted model, not a curated record